RNAcentral lists this ribosomal RNA (465 nucleotides) under Vreelandella stevensii. Its description in RNAcentral is "partial 16S ribosomal RNA". It matches the Rfam family "Bacterial small subunit ribosomal RNA", at positions 338 to 795 of the family's 1533-position model. Lineage: Bacteria; Pseudomonadati; Pseudomonadota; Gammaproteobacteria; Oceanospirillales; Halomonadaceae. The record is from RNAcentral.
CCUACGGGGGGCAGCAGUGGGGAAUAUUGGACAAUGGGGGGAACCCUGAUCCAGCCAUGCCGCGUGUGUGAAGAAGGCCCUCGGGUUGUAAAGCACUUUCAGUGAGGAAGAACACCUGGUGGUUAAUACCCAUCAGGAAAGACAUCACUCACAGAAGAAGCACCGGCUAACUCCGUGCCAGCAGCCGCGGUAAUACGGAGGGUGCGAGCGUUAAUCGGAAUUACUGGGCGUAAAGCGCGCGUAGGUGGCUUGAUAAGCCGGUUGUGAAAGCCCCGGGCUCAACCUGGGAACGGCAUCCGGAACUGUCAAGCUAGAGUGCAGGAGAGGAAGGUAGAAUUCCCGGUGUAGCGGUGAAAUGCGUAGAGAUCGGGAGGAAUACCAGUGGCGAAGGCGGCCUUCUGGACUGACACUGACACUGAGGUGCGAAAGCGUGGGUAGCAAACAGGAUUAGAUACCCCGGUAGUC